AGCCAAGCUAACUUCCAGCCAUGGCACUGUCUCCGGCUACGACCUUCCACGACCACGACGAGAGCUCCAGCUUUCCUGGCCCAUCACAAUCAUAACGACCUAACAGCCCAGUAGGACCGAUGGCCAGAGAUGGAGGAGGAGGAAGAUAGACGCAGCAGAGGGCGGGGAUAUUGAUUAGGAAGACUCCAACAGAAUUGACGCCCUGCUAACUGCCUUGAUUCAAUCAUUGAAUUUGAAGCAAUCCCAUCGGUUACUGCAGCGUGCCCUGAUCCGUGACCCCAGUUUGAUGUUCGACCUGGCACAUGACAUCUG
Engraulis encrasicolus (European anchovy) is the source of this 312-nucleotide long non-coding RNA. RefSeq lists it as uncharacterized. NCBI's taxonomy places the organism in Eukaryota, Metazoa, Chordata, Actinopteri, Clupeiformes, Engraulidae. The transcript has 3 exons. The record is from RefSeq and is a predicted model, not a curated record.